Molecule: ribosomal RNA, 253 nt
Filed under: uncultured bacterium
Lineage: Bacteria
Description: partial 16S ribosomal RNA
Rfam family: Bacterial small subunit ribosomal RNA
Source: RNAcentral
UACGUAGGGCGCAAGCGUUGUCCGGAAUUAUUGGGCGUAAAGAGCUCGUAGGCGGCCUGUCGCGUCUGCUGUGAAAUCCCGGGGCUCAACCCCGGGCGUGCAGUGGAUACGGGCUGGCUGGAGGCAGGCAGGGGAGAACGGAAUUCCCGGUGUAGCGGUGAAAUGCGCAGAUAUCGGGAGGAACACCGGUGGCGAAGGCGGUUCUCUGGGCCUGUACUGACGCUGAGGAGCGAAAGCGUGGGGAGCGAACAGG